Molecule: ribosomal RNA, 465 nt
Filed under: uncultured bacterium
Lineage: Bacteria
Description: partial 16S ribosomal RNA
Rfam family: Bacterial small subunit ribosomal RNA
Source: RNAcentral
GACGAACGCUGGCGGCGUGCUUAACACAUGCAAGUCGAACGGAAAGGCCCUGCUUGCAGGGUACUCGAGUGGCGAACGGGUGAGUAACACGUGGGUGCUCUGCCCUGCACUUCGGGAUAAGCCUGGGAAACUGGGUCUAAUACCGGAUAGGAGCCAUUUUUAGUGUGAUGGUUGGAAAGUUUUUUCGGUGUAGGAUGAGCUCGCGGCCUAUCAGCUUGUUGGUGGGGUAAUGGCCUACCAAGGCGGCGACGGGUAGCCGGCCUGAUAGGGUGGACGGCCACAUUGGGACUGAGAGACGGCCCAGACUCCUACGGGAGGCAGCAGGGGGGAAUAUUGCACAAUGGGCGCAAGCCUGAUGCAGCGACGCCGCGUGGGGGAUGACGGCCUUCGGGUUGUAAACUCCUUUCGCUAGGGACGAAGCUUUUUGUGACGGUACCUAGAUAAGAAGCACCGGCUAACUACGUG